UACGAAGGAUCCAAGCGUUAUCCGGAUUUAUUGGGUUUAAAGGGUGCGUAGGCGGGCUAUUAAGUCAGUGGUGAAAGCCCCAAGCUUAACUUCGAAACUGCAUUCGAUACUGCCGUGCUAGAGGACUGGAGAGGAGACUGGAAUUUACGGUGUAGCGGUGAAAUGCGUAGAUAUCGUAAGGAAGACCAGUGGCGAAGGCGGGUCUCUGGACAGUUCCUGACGCUGAGGCACGAAGGUCAGGGGAGCAAACGGG
Molecule: ribosomal RNA, 253 nt
Filed under: uncultured bacterium
Lineage: Bacteria
Description: partial 16S ribosomal RNA
Rfam family: Bacterial small subunit ribosomal RNA
Source: RNAcentral